GGGGAGAGAGAAGGCUGGGAAAAUUGAAAAUCCUAACUUGGUUCGGAGGCGACAACAGGCACCGCAGCUCCAUGUAGGGAGUGACUGUGUUGGUUUUCUUUUUGUUGGAGACCGAGUUUUGCAGGUAUAGGUCGGUGUCCACUACGGGUCUCGUUUUGCAUUUUGUGACUCGCUCAAGAAGUGCGUGGUUGAGGCCUGUGGGAGUCUUUGUCUCCUGGCCCGUAGAUGAUUUUUU
This is a long non-coding RNA of Rhododendron vialii, 235 nucleotides long. RefSeq lists it as uncharacterized. The record is from RefSeq and is a predicted model, not a curated record. NCBI's taxonomy places the organism in Eukaryota, Viridiplantae, Streptophyta, Magnoliopsida, Ericales, Ericaceae. The transcript is spliced from 3 exons.